CCUACGGGGGGCAGCAGUAGGGAAUCUUUCACAAUGGGCGAAAGCCUGAUGGAGCAACGCCGCGUGCAGGAUGAAGGCCUUCGGGUUGUAAACUGCUUUUAUAAGCGAGAAAUAUGAUGGUAACUUAUGAAUAAGGAUCGGCUAACUACGUGCCAGCAGCCGCGGUCAUACGUAGGAUGCGAGCAUUAUCCGGAGUGACUGGGGGUAAAGAGUUGCGUAGGUGGCAUAGUAAAUAGCUAGUGAAAUCGGGUGGCUCAACCAUUCAGACUAUUAGCGAAACUGUUAAGCUCGAGACCGUUAGAGGUAAGUGGAAUUCCUAGUGUAGGGGUGAAAUGCGUAGAUAUUAGAAAGAACACCGAUAGCGUAGGCAGGUUACUGGGACGGUACUGACGCUGAGGCACGAAAGCGUAGGGAGCAAACGGGAUUAGAUACCCCAGUAGUC
RNAcentral lists this ribosomal RNA (442 nucleotides) under uncultured bacterium. Its description in RNAcentral is "partial 16S ribosomal RNA". It matches the Rfam family "Bacterial small subunit ribosomal RNA", at positions 338 to 795 of the family's 1533-position model. The record is from RNAcentral.